Molecule: ribosomal RNA, 484 nt
Filed under: uncultured bacterium
Lineage: Bacteria
Description: partial 16S ribosomal RNA
Rfam family: Bacterial small subunit ribosomal RNA
Source: RNAcentral
AUUGAACGCUAGCGGGAUGCUUUACACAUGCAAGUCGAACGGCAGCGCGGACUUCGGUCUGGCGGCGAGUGGCGAACGGGUGAGUAAUGUAUCGGAACGUGCCCAGUAGCGGGGGAUAACUACGCGAAAGCGUAGCUAAUACCGCAUACGCCCUACGGGGGAAAGCAGGGGAUCGUAAGACCUUGCACUAUUGGAGCGGCCGAUAUCGGAUUAGCUAGUUGGUGAGGUAACGGCUCACCAAGGCGUCGAUCCGUAGCUGGUUUGAGAGGACGACCAGCCACACUGGGACUGAGACACGGCCCAGACUCCUACGGGAGGCAGCAGUGGGGAAUUUUGGACAAUGGGGGCAACCCUGAUCCAGCCAUCCCGCGUGUGCGAUGAAGGCCUUCGGGUUGUAAAGCACUUUUGGCAGGAAAGAAACGUCGCGGGCUAAUACCCCGUGGAACUGACGGUACCUGCAGAAUAAGCACCGGCUAACUACGUG